AACGCACGAGACCUGCGGACCUGCGGAAGGAUCAUUACCGAGUUAUCCAACUCCCAACCCCUGUGAAUUAUACCUUUAAUUGUUGCUUCGGCGGGACUUCGCGCCCGCCGGGGACCCAAACCUUCUGAAUUUUUUAAUAAGUAUCUUCUGAGUGGUUAAAAAAAUGAAUCAAAGCUUUUAGCAACGGAUCUCU
Molecule: unclassified non-coding RNA, 193 nt
Filed under: soil metagenome
Description: partial contains 5.8S ribosomal RNA, internal transcribed spacer 2, and large subunit ribosomal RNA
Source: RNAcentral